GACGAACGCUGGCGGCGUGCUUAACACAUGCAAGUCGAACGGAAAGGCCCUGCUUUUGUGGGGUGCUCGAGUGGCGAACGGUUGAGUAACACGUGAGUAACCUGCCCUUGACUUUGGGAUAACUUCAGGAAACUGGGGCUAAUACCGGAUAGUAGCUCCUGCUGCAUGGUGGGGGUUGGAAAGUUUCGGCGGUUGGGGAUGGACUCGCGGCUUAUCAGCUUGUUGGUGGGGUAGUGGCUUACCAAGGCUUUGACGGGUAGCCGGCCUGAGAGGGUGACCGGCCAAAUUGGGACUGAGAUACGGCCCAGACUCCUACGGGAGGCAGCAGUGGGGAAUAUUGCACAAUGGGCGGAAGCCUGAUGCAGGAACGACGCGUGAGGGAUGACGGCCUUCGGGUUGUAAACCGCUUUCGCCUGUGACGAAGAGUGAGAGACGGUAAUGGGUAAAGAAGCACCGGCUAACUACGUG
Molecule: ribosomal RNA, 468 nt
Filed under: uncultured bacterium
Lineage: Bacteria
Description: partial 16S ribosomal RNA
Rfam family: Bacterial small subunit ribosomal RNA
Source: RNAcentral